RNAcentral lists this small RNA (79 nucleotides) under Caenorhabditis elegans. Its description in RNAcentral is "Unclassified non-coding RNA ZK1010.13". Lineage: Eukaryota; Metazoa; Nematoda; Chromadorea; Rhabditida; Rhabditidae. The record is from RNAcentral.
GAUUCAGAGGUUCAUCUGCAGCAGGUGUAGUCGUACUUGUCUUGUUCGUAAAUGAAGAUGUACCGUUAUCAUCAUCAGG